RNAcentral lists this non-coding RNA (23 nucleotides) under Rattus norvegicus (Norway rat). The record is from RNAcentral. Lineage: Eukaryota; Metazoa; Chordata; Mammalia; Rodentia; Muridae.
UUCAUGUGUUUGCUCUGAGGUGG